RNAcentral lists this transfer RNA (65 nucleotides) under Dipodomys ordii (Ord's kangaroo rat). It matches the Rfam family "tRNA". Rfam says of the family: Transfer RNA (tRNA) molecules are approximately 80 nucleotides in length. Lineage: Eukaryota; Metazoa; Chordata; Mammalia; Rodentia; Heteromyidae. The record is from Rfam by way of RNAcentral.
GGUGGCUCAGUGCUAGAGCACUUGCCUUGCAUGCAUGAGGCCUUGGGUUCAAUUCCCCAGCACCA